Asterophora parasitica is the source of this 93-nucleotide non-coding RNA. NCBI's taxonomy places the organism in Eukaryota, Fungi, Basidiomycota, Agaricomycetes, Agaricales, Lyophyllaceae. The record is from the annotation of a GenBank genome assembly.
UCUUUGCUAGUAUAUCGGUUAGUACACGCGCCUGUCAUCAUGCCUUUGGAGUUUUGCACGCGCGAAAGCUGGGUUCGACUCCCAGGCAGAGAG